GACGAACGCUGGCGGCGCGCUUAACACAUGCAAGUCGAACGGAAAGGCCUGCUUUCCCUUGUGGAUUGCGGGUACUCGAGUGGCGAACGGGUGAGUAACACGUGAGUGAUCUGCCCCCAACUUGGGUAUAAGCCUGGGAAACUGGGUCUAAUUCCCGAUAGGACUGCAGGGUGGUGCCUGUGGUGGAAAACGAUUUUCUAGUGGUUGGGGAUGAGCUCGCGGCCUAUCAGCUUGUUGGUGGGGUAAUGGCCUACCAAGGCGGCGACGGGUAGCCGGCCGGGGAGGGUGGACGGCCACAUUGGGACUGGGAUACGGCCCAGACGCCUACGGGAGGCAGCAGUGGGGAAUAUUGCACAAUGGGCGGAAGCCUGAUGCAGCGACGCCGCGUGGGGGAUGACGGCCUUCGGGUUGUAAACUCCUUUCGACCGCGAGGAAGCCACCUGGUUGGAAGGGUGGUGACGGUAGUGGUAGAAGAAGCACCGGCUAACUACGUG
Molecule: ribosomal RNA, 494 nt
Filed under: uncultured bacterium
Lineage: Bacteria
Description: partial 16S ribosomal RNA
Rfam family: Bacterial small subunit ribosomal RNA
Source: RNAcentral